GAUGAACGCUGGCGGCGUGCCUAAUACAUGCAAGUCGAGCGAACGGACGAGAAGCUUGCUUUUCUGAUGUUAGCGGCGGACGGGUGAGUAACACGUGGAUAACCUACCUAUAAGACUGGGAUAACUUCGGGAAACCGGAGCUAAUACCGGAUAAUAUUUUGAACCGCAUGGUUCAAAAGUGAAAGACGGUCUUGCUGUCACUUAUAGAUGGAUCCGCGCUGCAUUAGCUAGUUGGUAAGGUAACGGCUUACCAAGGCAACGAUGCAUAGCCGACCUGAGAGGGUGAUUGGCCACACUGGAACUGAGACACGGUCCAGACUCCUGCGGGAGGCAGCAGUAGGGAAUCUUCCGCAAUGGGCGAAAGCCUGACGGUGCAACGCCGCGUGAGUGAUGAUGGUCUUCGGAUCGUAAAACUCUGUUAUUAGGGAAGAACAUAUGUUUAAGUAACUGUGCACAUCUUGACGGUACCUAAUCAGAAAGCCACGGCUAACUACGUG
Molecule: ribosomal RNA, 497 nt
Filed under: uncultured bacterium
Lineage: Bacteria
Description: partial 16S ribosomal RNA
Rfam family: Bacterial small subunit ribosomal RNA
Source: RNAcentral